RNAcentral lists this unclassified non-coding RNA (651 nucleotides) under Hevea brasiliensis (rubber tree). The record is from RNAcentral. Lineage: Eukaryota; Viridiplantae; Streptophyta; Magnoliopsida; Malpighiales; Euphorbiaceae.
UAAAAGAGUCCAAAUCAUUAUCUAUCAGUCCCUCUUCAUACAUAGGUGUUUUAACAACUGCAGGCCCUUUGGACUUAUCUUGGCAGCGUUGGCCCUUACUAUCUGUGUUUUGAGCUAAAAUUUUGUGGGCCUGGGAGCCCAUUUUAUCAUGGUUUUGGCCGCUUGUGGGUUAGGUCAGUGUUUGGGGUUGGUUCAAGGUAGGUUUGUGUUGGUUGGUAGACUUGUCAGACAUUCCUGCAUCUUGCUUAGGUAAGGAGUCAAAAUUGCUAGGACAUUGAAGGCUUGUUUUUGAAAAUGUGAAGUGAGAUAUGGAAAUUGGCAAAAGAAAAGCUCAGUAUCUAUGUGAGGUUUUACCAAGGAAGAUAGGUAUUUGUGAAAUAAUUUGGAUAUGUUGUUUGCAGGAAAAAGUUCCGCUGGCAUGAAAAGGCUCGAUGGUUCAGGUAGCUCGGGGCUCGAAAAGACAUGAUGGGUUUUGGAAGUACAAUUAGCGGUAUCUGAACCUGCUUAGAUUGGAACGGCUAGAUUAGGAGAGUGGCUUUUGCCGUAGUUUCUGGUUUUUGAAGCAUUUAGGUGGUUUUGCAAAGCUUUUAUGGGAUCAGACUUUUCUUCCAAGGUUCUUUCACUCCCUUCCCCAGCUUCGGUCGAUUCUUG